RNAcentral lists this ribosomal RNA (1460 nucleotides) under metagenome. RNAcentral describes it as "bacterial SSU rRNA". It matches the Rfam family "Archaeal small subunit ribosomal RNA". The record is from RNAcentral.
UCCGAUUGAUCCCGUCGGACCCCACUGCUAUCGAGAUGGGACUAAGGUAUGCUAGUCGAACGACCAGAACUAUGUCUGGAAGUGGCACACUGCUCAGUAACACGUAGCUAACCUACCCUUAGGACGUGGAUACCCCCGAGAAAUUGGGGUUAAUCCGCGAUAGGUGUGUCCUGGAAUGGUAUUACGCCUAAAGGUGUAUCAUACAUGUUUGAUAUACGCCUAAGGAUGGGGCUGCGGCCGAUCAGGCUGUUGGUGAGGUAAUGGCUCACCAAACCUUUGACCGGUACGGGCCAUGAGAGUGGUAGCCCGGAGAUGGACACUGAGACAAGGGUCCAGGCCCUAAGGGGCGCAGCAACCGCGAAACCUCCACAAUGCACUCACGUGCGAUGGGGCUAUCUCGAGUGACACCUGAUGAAGGUGGCUUUUCCUAGGUCUUCAAAGCCUUGGGAAUAAGAGGGGGGCAAGACUGGUGUCAGCCGCCGCGGUAACACCAGCCCCUCGAGUGGUGGGGAUGAUUAUUUGGCCUAAAGCGUCCGUAGCCGGCCGAGCAAGUCUUCCGUUAAAUCCAGCGUCUCAAGCGUCGGACUGCGGGAGAUACUACACGGCUAGAGAGUGGGAGAGGUCAGCGGUAUUCUGGGGGUAGGGGCGAAAUCCUUUGAUCCCCGGAGGACCACCAGUGGCGAAGGCUGCUGACUAGAACACGUCUGACGGUCAGGGACGAAAGCUGGGGUAGCGAACCGGAUUAGAUACCCGGGUAGUCCCAGCCGUAAACGAUGCAUGCUAGGUGUUGGGUUGGCCACGAGCCACCCCAGUGCCGCAGGGAAGCCGUUAAGCAUGCCGCCUGGGAAGUACGAUCGCAAGAUUGAAACUUAAAGGAAUUGGCGGGGGAGCACCACCAGGCGUGAAGCCUGCGGUUUAAUUGGAGUCAACGCCGGGAACCUUACCGGGAGCGACAGCAGAAUGAAGGCCAGAUUGAAGACCUUGCCAGACGAGCUGAGAGGAGGUGCAUGGCCGUCGCCAGUUCGUGCCGUGAGGUGUUCUCUUAAGUGAGAUAACGAACGAGACCCGUGCCACAUGUUGCCACCAGUAUCUAAAGGAUAGCUGAGCACUCUUGUGGGACCGCAGCCGAUAAGGCUGAGGAAGGUACGGGCAACGGCAGGUCAGUAUGCCCCGAAUCUCCCGGGCCACACGCGGGCUGCAAUGGUACAGACAGAGGGCUGCCACCCCGAAAGGGGGAGCCAAUCCCUAAACUGUACCUCAGUUGGGAUCGAGGGUUGCAACCCACCCUCGUGAACAUGGAAUGCCUAGUAACCGCCAGUCAUCAUCUGGCGGUGAAUACGUCCCUGCUCCUUGCACACACUGCCCGUCGAACCACCCGAAUGAGGUUUGGGUGAGGAAUGGUCGAAUGUUGGCCGUUUCGAACCUGGGCCUCGUAAGGAGGGUUAAGUCGUAACAAGGUG